GGGAGGCGGCUCGACCCAGAGCUCGAGGCCAAAGCCGUGCGGUAUGGCACACUGUAGAAAGGGAAAACAGCUCCGUUCUAGCUUUAAAACGCUCCGUUAAAAAGACGAACCCCCACCGCCCGCCUCUUCCUCUUCCGCCGUCCGCCCGUCGGAGCUCCGCCUCGGCAGCAGCCGCGGUGCGGGAGCCCCGGUUGCCACUGAAAGGAUGCUGGUGUUUGAGAUCAGCUGUUUGCUGAGUAAGGCAGAACCACAACCUGGCAGGUGAAAUCAGAAAAGCUAGAAGAAGAACAUACUGUUCUUUUUCUUUGCAUUUUGAAGUUGAUUAUCCGUUAGAAGAAACUCCAAAGGCCAGUUCUGUCUCCUGAGAUUUUUGAAUCAAGAUAUGAUCCCAUUUUGGAUAUUGUAGUUAAGCUCAAGUUACUGAGUUUAGUUCUGAGGUUAGGAUUUGACUAUGGGAGUGCGGUUCCUGCAGAAGGCAUCUGUCUGGUUAAAGAAGCACAAGAUGACUCUGUUGGCUACUUCUUGCGUGGGACUGUUUGGCGCUAACCUUUCCUAUCAUGUAUUUCCUGAGCAGACGUUCAAACUGUUGCACGAGUGCUGGUCAGAUGGGCAGCCAGCUGAGCUUUCUCAGAAGCUCUGUGCUGUCUUUCAGGAUGUCCUUCAAGAUACUGCAGUGAAUUCCACCAACUACCAAGCUUUUGCAGCUUCUGGCUUCCACCCGGUCAGUGCUGGAAUCCCCUGGCUGCCUGCGGGUUCUUUGGUGGGCAUCCCUCCUAAUUUUGAUAGCACCGCUGAGGAUAAAAGAGGAAUAGUCAACCACGUUGUUGUGAUUGGCGGCAGGGAAGUAGACUGGGAAAGCAACGAAGGUGUUGCUUUGAAGGAAGCUCUGACAUUUUCACCUGAAGCACAGAAGUUUGCACUUGCCAGAGAAAUUGUGUAUUUGCAGAACAGCAGCCCGUUAGCAAGUGCAGCUGUAGCUCCAACAUGCUUAGCUGGUACGUGUCUCUGUGGGAUAGGUAUAAAGAUAGCUCUGGGUCUGUAUUCUGGCCCCAGGAUACUUCGCAGCAUCUGUAACUUCAUAAUUGCUGCUGCUGGACUAAUCCUCUAUUACAUUUCUUAUGAUGCUAUGACCUAUCACCUGGACUGCAAGGCUGACAGAGAUGCAGCUACUGUAUCAAAAGACUAUGCCAAUGGUGGGGUGGAAUUUUAUGACAAAAUCCUGUCCCGCAACAGGAUUCUUCGUGCUCUGAUGGGCGAAGAAGGGACAAAAAUAUAUGCCCCAAGUGGUAACCUUUUCCCAAGGUACUGGUUCAGACUAAAGUAUACCCCGUACACUUACCGAAGAGAUUUAAUUGUUAAUAUUUUAAAAGAGCUCCAGGCAUAGGAAGGGAGUGCUUGAAUUUUAAACUUGUGAAUUAUGUAUUCUCUUUGGAACACUGCUGUGCUGCUUUUUUUUUUUUCCUUCUUCUUUUCUGUGUCUUCAUUAGAAUUUUGGGGUUUAUUUUUGCAUAUAGUUUGGAAGGAGUUAUUGCGCAUUCCGCGAAUAAAGAAUUUUCCCUUAAAAUAUUAAAGAGUUGCUUCAAAAGUGCUCCGCUCUGUGUGCAUCUUAAAUCACAAGACCACUGAGGAAGGGAGCUGCUCAGAUGCUAAUCUGGAGGUUGUGCUGCUCUGCUCCCCCUUGCUGCCAGUUCCAGGCUGGGAAAUGGAAAAGAAUGUCAUUAGGUACAGCUUUCCAGAGGAGCAGAGCCACUCAGAAGUUUAAAUGUGAUGAUGAGUUACAGAUGCAAAGUGUGUCUAUAAAUCAGGUCAUGGGAGCUGGUCACAGGGAGCUGCAGCACUUCUAGCAGAUGGUUAUUUGGAGCAGAAGGGACCACGUAACAUUUGGGUUUUCUCCUGACGAAUGGCAAGAAUCAGCUCCAACCCAGUGACCUGUUACAAGUCUGCCAGCAAAAUCAGAAGUUAAUUUCAGGUCUAGUGAUGGGCUCACAACUGGAUCCCUGAGGAGCUCGGCAGCGCUCCUGUGUGCCACUCCCAGAGGUGGGCAGAAUCCUUCAAAUGGCAGAGCCCUGAUUUCUGAGGAUCAUUGCAAAGCAAACUCAAUUUCAUGCAGGUUGUGACCUCUUGUUUGAGUGCUCAGAGAUUUGUGACCUACUUCAUGACUGAGCUUUUUGUUUGCUUUUAGCUCUUUGGAUGGAGAAACUAAGAAGUAAGAUAAAUGCCGGAGGACAAAUGUUUAUUUUUAACACUAGCUUCUCAGUGUAACUAACUGUAGUUGUCUUGCUUUUUCUCCUGACCCUCACUAGGUCUUCCAUACCUCACAUGAAGCGUUAAGUGGAAUGCCACCAAAAUUAAAUCUCUGAAACUCGAACCUCCGAGACAGACCCUGAUGUAUGUACUUCAUCACGUGAGAAGGACUGUGCAGAAGUACUGGUCUGGCUCUCCUGCACCAGAAGGUGAACAAAGGAGCACAAAUCUAUACACCAAAACCUGCCUCUGGGCACAGCUGAUGGUGAAGAGUCCUCUGGAAGCACCACUGCUGCAGACGGGAUCAGGCCAAGAAACUAAUGAUGGGGUUGCAGAGCCAGUUCCUCAUGAUACGGCAUGGAAAUGUGCUGCCUUGGGCAGAAAUACAAAGUAGAUGAAUUCUGAGUGUCACCACUGAUCCACAUUGGCAAGCAGUUACAGAGGCAUCUGUGUUGGCCUGGUGGCACCAACCAGUAUGUAGCACAAGAUUCAAGGGUUACCAUGUUUGUCCUUGCUAAAUCUUCUAAGCAAGAUGGUGAAGUGUUCAGAUGUGUUUACUCCCUCAUCCCUUCAUAGGAUGCCAGCCAGGAAGAUUAAGGUGGGGGAUCCUUAUUUUCCUGUCUUGGUGCAAGGGAGUGCCUUGGAGCAGGGAUGCUCUUGGGAUAAUCCCUUGCAGUGCUUUACAGCCUGUCCCUAAUUACUCGGUGUUUUCCUGUUCCUCUGAGCUGCCUGUGGUCCCACCCUGCGGCUCCAGCACAAUCAGAACACUCCUGUUUUCUGAGAACAGAGGAAAGGGCAGCAGGCAUCAACAAAAAACUAUCUCCCAUAGGCAAUUAAGUGGCACGGGCUGGGGUGGGAGGAAACAAACCCCAGUUUUUUACUUGGCUAUGUGGAGAGGGAUUUCUUCUUGUGUACUUUUAUCUAUCCCAAAGGUGACUUUGAGAGUUUGGCAAUGCUCCUGCCAAAGCCAAGCAUUCAAAGAGGAGAUUGUUCCCAAAUUCUGAAACACAAAAUAUGUUUGCAUUUUAAUUUGCAUUCUGUUUCUUUUUUUUCCCCUUUACUUUCAUAUUUCCAAGUCCCCACAACUCUUAUGGCUAGAAACAUCACGAGGAUUCUUAUCAUCAGCACUACUGCUGCUUGUGACAAUAAUACAUAAAAGCUAAGGUUUUUAGAUAAUAAGCGAAUUUCAUGAGCUGUGGGCUGUAAGAACAGAGAGUUCAGAUCAGAUUAAAGCCACAUUAAUACUGGAACUAAUUGGUAGCUUCGUUGCUGGUGUCUCUGUAGAGAUGAAACGAUGAGCCACCCUGUCCUCAGUGUGUGGUCCCUUUGUGGCUGAGGGAGAUAGGUACAGGUAGAAUAGUUGUGUGAAUGCACUGCAAUGCUGUAUUACCAUUUUUUAACUCAGUCUAUCAUCAGUGGGGCUGACACUCUGCUACUGGCUUCUCAGCACCUGUUUCUCUACUAACCCAGAAGCCUAUGUAUGCCUGUGCUGAGGGUCUAUUCAAGGCUCUAUCCAGGUAGCAGCAGCCCAGUCAGCGACUCUCUGGUCCUCUCCUCUGCUGGAUGUUUCUGAGGCAGGACAUCAUCUGGUAUUCUCCAUCCAUACUAUUUUCAGGCUGUAUAUAUUUUUAAAUAAAAAGAAACACACACAACCA
Molecule: non-coding RNA, 3899 nt
Organism: Coturnix japonica (Japanese quail)
Lineage: Eukaryota; Metazoa; Chordata; Aves; Galliformes; Phasianidae
Source: RefSeq, a predicted model, not a curated record